Non-coding RNA from Pelobates cultripes (western spadefoot toad), 216 nucleotides. The record is from the annotation of a GenBank genome assembly. Lineage: Eukaryota; Metazoa; Chordata; Amphibia; Anura; Pelobatidae.
GAAAUCUCGGGAGUGGUCGUGUGAGUAGAAUGUUGCCUGCGUAGAGUGUUACUUUAAACUUAUGCUUGUUUACUUCGAUGCCCUUUAUCUCCUCUGUUGAUCUUCUGCUAGAUAGAUAAAGCAUAUAGCAGAGGAGAUAAAGGGCAGCCCUGUUGUGUACCAUUUUGGAUACUGAAAAAAGAUGAACUUAAAAAUGGACCUAGAAAACAAAUCAAA